UUAGGCACGAAGGGUUCGCUUCAGAGGAAAAAUAUUUCAGCGUUGAAAGACGCAAGCGGGUGUGUGUAUAUAUAUAUAUACUUGUGGCUGAUCGAGAAAUAGGGUGUAAGCUAAAGACACCGCCGCGACUACCCACGGUACAGUACCAUCGGCAUACGAUUACUAAGGGAGCCGCGGAUAAGCUCGACUAAGCACUAAUCGAGAGCACCGCGAAGUCUCUUUCAUCACGGGCGUAAGUAAUUCGUUUAGUAAUUUACUGAGCGGAGCGAAUAAGAGUUACAACGAGGUGUCCUCGCAUGAAUUAACAAACGGUACUGACGAGAAUAUCCGCGUUAAGGUAACCAUUAAAGCAUCGUCUUCCCAUAAUCGAUGCGCCUUGCAUAAGCGUAACGCUACCCAAAAGUCUUUUUGCGCUUCCCUGACGCUUUAUGUCAACGAUUCUGUUAGAAAUAAUUUUUAAUUAAACUCGUCUACGUUGCAGUUCAAUCGUCUUGGAAUCAAAUUACCGCUCAUUAUAUUCUAUGUAUUUAUUAACGAAUAUCGAGGUACAUGUUAAACGUGUUAAUAAGCAUCGUUCCUUUAUUGAAAUCUGUCGAUAUUGAAAAAACCUUCGCGUAACGUGAAGAAGGAAAUUUUCCAAUUCGUCCGGAGACAAGGCAAGUCAUUUUUCCUUCGGUUAUAUCACGACGUGUGUUCAGCCUGUAUUUAUGCAUCCAUUCGAAUGUCUUCUCUUGUUCAUUGCGAUGCGUAUAUGCAGCACCCAUAUCGCACGAGGUUAUCUUCAUCUGCAAUGUUCCCUUCUAUUCGAAUGCGAACGAUAAAUCGUGAAAAGGUUUUCAGGAAUGUCUCGGAUGGACUCGGUAAUGGAAAACGCGGACCCACCCGUCCGUAGUUCACCACGAUAAAAACUUCUUGCUCGAUGCAUAUUUUCUGUUUAAUUAGGUGACAACUAAAAUAUUACCAUGGAUGUUUAUAUACAAUAACUAAUUAAUAAUGUUACCUUUAACAUGGUAUUCUAAAUGAGUCGUACUCGAAGAGCAAGAGCUUUUUAAAGAACUCGAUGUUUUGAUCCCAUUUAUACAUGCAGUCUGCUAAGGAGAAGAAUUUACGAGAUGAAAUAAAACAGCAUGUAGGAUUUUUUUAUGACGCCCGAAGGGUCUGUUUUAUACUGGAACACGGCAUAUCAAAUGCAUGAGAGAUACUUGCUCUUGAAGCUUAUUAAACCGAAUGCUUUUUUAUUAAUAGGUGCUGUCACCCACGCGAAAACAGUAUUACCAGCGUAAAACACGUAUUUGCCAGGAGCUAUUCAGUUACAUAUUGUGUAAUACAGGAUUACAACUUCAUAAAGCGUCGGUCUGUUAUUUAUCAUUCCAUUAUCGUUCACCGCUGCAUACUUCCUGCUGUGUAACUACCAUAACUUUUUUAAACAGACAUUUCACGUUUCGUGUAAAUCAAAUCUGCUCCAUUGUAAUUCUGCUCGCGAUAGAUUUUAAAAUGUCAGCUUUUUUUCCCCCGUCCAAUCGAACGCGUACGGCUUAACCAGAUUCUCUUUAUCGAUCCCUGAUUUAUGUCACGUCAUGGUUACUGGAAUUCGGGCCUCGCUUUGUCCACGCGUUAUAAAUCUGCUUAGGAGCUUGACAUUCUAACAACUUGUUUGAUGUAAACGCAACUUGGUUGUUGCAGUGCGUGCAAUAAAAUUGUAUAAAUUAUUGGCUCGCCAUUAGACGCACAGGGAAACGGACGCGUAUUGUUUAGUAGAAUUGGUCUGUGUCGUGUUUUCCAACGUCACUUCAAAGUUAUACGCCGUCCCAGAUCCAUAUGUACGCCGCUGUAUUGCCGAACAUUUAUGAAAUUGCAAAUUACAUUCGUGAUUGCCAGUUAGAACUCGGAAAAGGAAGUGAAUAUUUCUUUCAAGUGGAAACUGGGAACUUGUCACUUCAGCAAAAAUAAACGGAAACAAGCUAUGCUUCGUGAUAUGAACAACCUAAUGUCUACAAUAAAUGGUACUGAAGAAGAACAUAAAUUGGCUACGAGAACGUUUCACGCAUGCCAUCUUAUGAGAUAACAAUUGAAAAUAUGAAACCAGUAACGAAACCGUGCGAUUCACGUAUCAAUAUCAAAUAACUGCUAACAGACGCACACGAAUGGUUCAUCAGAGUUCUGAACUUUGUCAUUAAAUCGGACCGCGCCCCCUGUUCCACCACGAUCGUUUUUGGUAUAAUAAUAAACAAACGCGGUACAGGUCCAUAUAUACAUGCACACACUAGGGGUAGCUUUUACCGUCAGGUGAAAACGAAGCGCCGGGCCCGUAAGAGACUAAUAAUACGUGGACAUAUAUCACGGAAGACUGGAUAAUUCCGUUAGCACGGAGAUUGGAGCUCAAUGAGGUAUGUCGUUACACGAUGCUUACACGGGCCCCUGACGAGCCAAGGGGUUCUGCCUAUUUUGCUACGGCCAGCGGAGCUGUGAAAAUGCCUUUUUACGAAGCAACCGAGCAUGCGAGCCGCGAUCGCACCUCGACCAUGCACACGCCGCGCCCCGGGUCGACUCGCAGGCGUAGCGGACCAAGUGAGACACGAUGAAACGUGUACGGAUGAAAUGUUUUCACCGAGGAGGCUCAAAGGACGGUUAACAGGCAUGUGCACCUCUGACGGCGGCGUCCCAACCGAUCCCGGGCCGAUAUGCAUAUAGCGCGACGCUUCGCGAACCAACCCCCAUCCGUCCUCUUUUUCCCGCUUUGUUCGUCACAUCACCUCCUACGCCUUUUUUAUCCCUCGCUCUCCUCUUGUUUUUUGGUCGAUUUGAUUGGUUUAUCGCUUUUAGCUGUUGCCGAUUCGCGCGAUUCGCUCGCGGUGCUUCCACUAUGAAUAAUACACGGGGUGCUCCCGAUAAGCGUGAAACGUCGAAAAUAGGGGCGACAAAACCUACAAUGUAGGUCACCGUGCGAGAGAAUACGUUUCCCCUCGGCUUUUCUCGCAUUUCUUUACGCUCGUUUGCAUACAUUCUUAGUAAUUAAACCGCGGCUUCUCGGUUCGCUGUGAUACGUUCAUCGAGUAAACGAUAUUUCUGGUUCUACAAAAGUAUCGUCAUUUUUUCAAUAACGAACGAUGAUCGGCGGGUGGAUUUUAUGUAUCGUCGAAACUUGGUCCGUGCUGAGGACGAAGGGAGAUCUCUUUUUAAAGUCAGAAAUUCUAAUGCAGAGCAAUCUGCCAGAACCGCUUCUGCUCCUAGCUGCUCGAAAAUAUGAUCCGCCAGGACGAUCAUAAAGAAAUCAGCAAAUCAUAAAACAGGAAGAAUAGUUACGGCAGAAGGCAAAAAAGGAGUUCCUUCAAAGACGGCGCACAGCACGCCGUAUUUACUGCAAAAAAGGAGAGUUCGACCUCCACUAUUUGUGAAUCUUGCAAUAUUUCACUCCACAAAGAGCUGCGUUUCGAACUUGGAGGAAAAAGUAUAAAACGUCUUACUUGUAUUAUGAAAUGUUUCCUGUCCGAAUUAAGAUUUAUUGCAGUAAUAAAUAGGCGGUCUCAGAUUUUCUAAUGCGAAUUUGUUUUAUCAUUCGCAUAUUUGCAUUCGACAUUGUCUUUCUCCUGAUUCUCCUUUAUGGAGAGAAUGGGACAAGUGAUUCUGUCAGAGAAUUAGUUUUUUUUCGAACACAUCAAAGACACAAAUGGUUCUUUUACCAACAUUAUACUGAAGACGUUUGAGUGGCCUGUUUCAAAUGAGACUCUCUGUAUUCUAUACACAUCUCUCCGUAUAUGUAACUCUCUUCUUGGGUCUGUAUCCCCGAAAGUAUUUACUUGGACAAGAUUUUCAGAUAACGGAGAAUGUUUCUCAACAUAUAGCUUCUUGUAUAUGUAAAUACAUCGGUAUUAUUUACAAAAUAGUAUUAGGGAAGCGGAAAGAUCAAGUGAUACAAAUUGUACAUCGAGAAAUUGAAGAUCCCGUGUUUGGUUCUCGGUAGGAAAUCCAGGCCAUUCGUGCAAUUGCGCUAUAAGCAUUAUAUUAUACCUGCUAUAAGUAUCGCGCUAUAACUCGGCAUUGAAACGAGAUACAGAGAAAAUAAGUGUGCGCAAUAGAGUUUCAUAGGACUCAUAUAAGCUAGCUUCAACUCUUAUUAUCAAAUUUAAUCCCCAUACCUAGUCGGUCUGUUCUGCCAUUCACUUUAUUAAAACGAUUACUAUAUUCAAACUAUAAUGUACAAUUUCAAUUUGGAAAUACCGUUCACGAACUCUUGUCAGUGAAUUACAUUUACAAAAAUAAAUGUUUCCGUAGCUUUGAGAAGUGAGCAUUCGUCAAUUUUUCCCAGCAAGCAUUUUUAACAAUAGCAGCUGAAACGCGCGUUGGACGCAAUGAUCAAAGAUCCUUGAACGAGGUAUACAAAAAAAGCGCACAGGUGCCCGCUACCCUUUUUGCAAGCGCUGCGUGCGAGAAACUUUGGUAUGCAUGUUUUAUCGAUUGGUCACGUACUAACAAAAGCCGCGUUCGUUGUGGAGUAGGAAACGGUACCAAAAUGACAUUUGCUACGGGUUUGGUCGCGUUUCAUCUACACGAGAGUGUGUGCAACGAGAUUCGCGUCACAUAUAUAAUGCUCAUUAAAAUCAAAUAUGUAUACCUUUCCAGUUAACGAGAAUUUUCCUUUAUAAAACAAAGCCGCUUAUCUUUCAGGUGCAAACAACAUUAUAUUCAACGAUCGAUAAUUAUCUUGGACAAAAAAUUUCUGAAUAAAAUUUACGUUGCAGCUUUAUUAUCGGACAAGCCGCUGCAUACAUCAUUUCGCGCAAAUUCAUUCUCAAAGGUUGUAACAACAAUUAUAUUUUACAGUUAAGGGUUAAAGUUUCAUGCGCAGAUAUAUCUACAAGCUACCGUAUCUAGUUCGGCUAAUACCCUGAAUGUUCUGUACAAAGUAACUUCUAAAUGUUUAUCUUACUUCACAUGUAGAAACACUUGGAUAGUCUAGUACUAACUUCGCCCUCGCUCCGUCCCUCUCAGGAAAUUCAGUUUAUUUACUAUUCCAUGUAGUCGAAAUUAUACCUAUCAAGUACAACUUCUGUGAAGAAAGAAACAAUUCUGUCUUUUAUAUACAAAGAGACUAUUACGUUCCUUAAACUGAGUAAGGCAGAACGAGUGCAUACAGCGUGCAAUUACUUUUUUUUUUAUGACAUCGU
This is a long non-coding RNA of Ceratina calcarata, 5165 nucleotides long. RefSeq lists it as uncharacterized. The record is from RefSeq and is a predicted model, not a curated record. NCBI's taxonomy places the organism in Eukaryota, Metazoa, Arthropoda, Insecta, Hymenoptera, Apidae. The transcript is spliced from 4 exons.